AACUUUUGGCAACGGAUCACUUUGGGCUGGGCACUGCAGGGGCUUGGCGUGUGGUGGUUGUAUCGUCGAUUGUCACAUCCAGGGCUCAAAUAUUUCGGCUUUGCUUUGUUCGUUGCGGUCGCCGCGCGUCUUUUGCUCAAUGACGAAAUUCUCCGGUAUCACGAGCGUGGAUUUCCCGUGUUCAACUGGAUGCUCUACACCUACGCGAUCGCGGCGGCUUGUUGCAUCAUCGGUGCGGUGUGGCUGGCACCGAUCGAGCGCGAACGCCUGGAGGCUUGGGAAAAGCCGUUCUGGGAGCCGCAGAAAUUCACCUUGGCGGCGAUCACGGCGGUGUUCGGCCUACUCCUCGUCUUUGCGCUGAUCAAUCUCGAGAUCGCCGACUACUUCUCCUCCGGCACCUACCUCGAGCUCAGCUGGGAGCAUCAGUCGGCGCGCGACUUAAGCAUAUCAAUAAGCGGAGGCU
Molecule: unclassified non-coding RNA, 463 nt
Filed under: uncultured Basidiomycota
Lineage: Eukaryota; Fungi; Basidiomycota
Description: sequence contains ITS2
Source: RNAcentral